Molecule: long non-coding RNA, 293 nt
Filed under: Ananas comosus (pineapple)
Lineage: Eukaryota; Viridiplantae; Streptophyta; Magnoliopsida; Poales; Bromeliaceae
Description: long non-coding RNA (ACOM_LNC012358)
Source: RNAcentral
UAUAUAUAUAUAUAGAGUUGAGCUAGAAUACUUCUAAAAGCAUCAAGAGGAUGGUGCUUGUGAGUUUUUAACCCUUGGAUAGAAAAAUAUAGGGUUGGGAUGAUGGUGGUAGGUGGAAUAGUGUUUGAUCCAAGGGCUAUUAGUAAUCAAGGAGUAGAUCCAAGGGCUAAAAACCUAAUAGCACCAAAGAGGUGAUACUUGUAAAAGUAUUCUAGCUCAAUUCAGCUCAACUAUAUAUAUAUAUAUAUAUAUGUAUAUAUAUACACUUUCAACCUUUUAUUCAUUAAUACCUU